AUACGGAGGGUGCGAGCGUUAUUCGGAAUUACUGGGCGUAAAGCGCGUGCAGGCGGUUUGGCAAGUCUGAUGUGAAAGCCCCGGGCUUAACCUGGGAAGUGCAUUGGAAACUGCCGGACUUGAGUACUGGAGAGGAAGGGGGAAUUCCCGGUGUAGAGGUGGAAUUCGUAGAGAUCGGGAGGAAUACCAGUGGCGAAGGCGCCCUUCUGGACGGUUACUGACGCUGAGACGCGAAAGCGUGGGGAGCAAACAGGAUUAGAUACCCUGGUAGUCCACGCUGUAAACGAUGAGCACUAGGUGUAGCGGGUACUCAUUCCUGCUGUGCCGCAGCUAACGCGUUAAGUGCUCCGCCUGGGGAUUACGGUCGCAAGACUAAA
This 377-nucleotide ribosomal RNA is filed under the name uncultured bacterium. RNAcentral's name for it is "bacterial SSU rRNA". It matches the Rfam family "Bacterial small subunit ribosomal RNA", at positions 523 to 898 of the family's 1533-position model. The record is from RNAcentral.